RNAcentral lists this ribosomal RNA (459 nucleotides) under uncultured Anoxybacillus sp. RNAcentral's name for it is "bacterial SSU rRNA". It matches the Rfam family "Bacterial small subunit ribosomal RNA", at positions 924 to 1382 of the family's 1533-position model. The record is from RNAcentral. Lineage: Bacteria; Bacillati; Bacillota; Bacilli; Caryophanales; Anoxybacillaceae.
CACAAGCGGUGGAGCAUGUGGUUUAAUUCGACGCAACGCGAAGAACCUUACCAGGUCUUGACAUCCCCUGACAACCCGAGAGAUCGGGCGUUCCCCUUCGGGGGACAGGGUGACAGGUGGUGCAUGGUUGUCGUCAGCUCGUGUCGUGAGAUGUUGGGUUAAGUCCCGCAACGAGCGCAACCCUCGACCUUAGUUGCCAGCAUUCAGUUGGGCACUCUAAGGUGACUGCCGGCUAAAAGUCGGAGGAAGGUGGGGAUGACGUCAAAUCAUCAUGCCCCUUAUGACCUGGGCUACACACGUGCUACAAUGGGCGGUACAAAGGGUCGCGAACCCGCGAGGGGGAGCCAAUCCCAAAAAGCCGCUCUCAGUUCGGAUUGCAGGCUGCAACUCGCCUGCAUGAAGCCGGAAUCGCUAGUAAUCGCGGAUCAGCAUGCCGCGGUGAAUACGUUCCCGGGCCUU